GACGUAGGGUCCAAGCGUUGUCCGGAUUUACUGGGCGUAAAGAGCGCGUAGGCGGUCUGUUAAGUGUGAAGUGAAAUCUCCAGGGCUCAACCCGGAAACUGCUUCGCAUACUGGCAGACUUGAGGAAUGCAGAGGUUUGUGGAAUUCCUGGUGUAACGGUGAAAUGUGUUGAUAUCAGGAGGAACACCCAUGGCGAAGGCAGCAAACUGGGCAUUAUCUGACGCUGAGGCGCGAAAGCGUGGGUAGCAAACAGGAUUAGAUACCCUGGUAGUCCACGCCCUAAACGAUGGAUACUAGGCGUAAGAGGUAUCGACCCCUCUUGUGCCGCAGCUAACGCAUUAAGUAUCCCGCCUGGGGAGUACGGCCGCAAGGUUGAA
RNAcentral lists this ribosomal RNA (377 nucleotides) under uncultured bacterium. Its description in RNAcentral is "bacterial SSU rRNA". It matches the Rfam family "Bacterial small subunit ribosomal RNA", at positions 524 to 898 of the family's 1533-position model. The record is from RNAcentral.